AAUCAACGCUGGCGGCGUGCCUCAGACAUGCAAGUCGAACGCGAAAGUCCCCUUCGGGGGACAAGUAGAGUGGCGCACGGGUGAGUAACACGUAGGUAAUCUACCUUCGGAUGGGGAAUAACAACCGGAAACGGUUGCUAAUACCGCAUAAUGCAGCGGCACCUAAUGGUGACAGUUGUUAAAGCGGGGGAUCGAAAGACCCCGCGUCUGAAGAGGAGCCUGCGGCGGAUUAGCUAGUUGGAAGGUAAUGGCUUACCAAGGCGACGAUCCGUAGCCGGCCUGAGAGGGCGGUCGGCCACACUGACACUGACAUACGGGUCAGACUCCUACGGGAGGCAGCAGUCGGGAAUUUUGGGCAAUGGGCGAAAGCCUGACCCAGCAACG
Molecule: ribosomal RNA, 384 nt
Filed under: uncultured bacterium
Lineage: Bacteria
Description: bacterial SSU rRNA
Rfam family: Bacterial small subunit ribosomal RNA
Source: RNAcentral